CAGCAGCCACGGUAAUACGGAGGGUGCAAGCGUUAAUCGGAAUUACUGGGCGUAAAGCGCACGCAGGCGGUCUGUCAAGUCAGAUGUGAAAUCCCCGGGCUUAACCUGGGAACUGCAUUUGAAACUGGCAGGCUAGAGUCUUGUAGAGGGGGGUAGAAUUCCAGGUGUAGCGGUGAAAUGCGUAGAGAUCUGGAGGAAUACCGAUGGCGAAGGCAGCCAUCUGGCCUAAUACUGACGCUGAGGUACGAAAGCAUGGGGAGCAAACAGGAUUAGAUACCCGUGUAGUCCUGUCUCUUAACAC
This 301-nucleotide ribosomal RNA is filed under the name uncultured bacterium. RNAcentral describes it as "partial 16S ribosomal RNA". It matches the Rfam family "Bacterial small subunit ribosomal RNA", at positions 509 to 809 of the family's 1533-position model. The record is from RNAcentral.